CGGAUAACUCCGCCUGUAGCUCCUACGGGGCCUACUGCCGGCCUCAAGCCCGGGUAAAGGAGGAGGGUUGG
Molecule: non-coding RNA, 71 nt
Filed under: Schistosoma mansoni
Lineage: Eukaryota; Metazoa; Platyhelminthes; Trematoda; Strigeidida; Schistosomatidae
Source: RNAcentral